UGUGGGAGCGAGCUUGCUCGCGAUAGCGGCGGUUCAGUCACGGCUGUGUUGACUGUCCUGCUGCUAUCGCGAGCAAGCUCGCUCCCACA
This 89-nucleotide unclassified non-coding RNA is filed under the name Pseudomonas sp. NFACC14. Lineage: Bacteria; Pseudomonadati; Pseudomonadota; Gammaproteobacteria; Pseudomonadales; Pseudomonadaceae. The record is from RNAcentral.